GGCGAGAUGGCCGAGCGGUCUGAGGCGCCAGACCAGGGUGAUCCGAUCACUUACAUAAUCUGGUCUUUUCGGAGGCGUGGGUUCAAAUCCUACUUUCGUCA
Irpex rosettiformis is the source of this 101-nucleotide non-coding RNA. NCBI's taxonomy places the organism in Eukaryota, Fungi, Basidiomycota, Agaricomycetes, Polyporales, Irpicaceae. The record is from the annotation of a GenBank genome assembly.